Molecule: ribosomal RNA, 656 nt
Filed under: uncultured Alphaproteobacteria bacterium
Lineage: Bacteria; Pseudomonadati; Pseudomonadota; Alphaproteobacteria
Description: bacterial SSU rRNA
Rfam family: Bacterial small subunit ribosomal RNA
Source: RNAcentral
AGAGUUUGAUCAUGGCUCAGAACGAACGCUGGCGGCAGGCCUAACACAUGCAAGUCGAACGCCCCGCAAGGGGAGUGGCAGACGGGUGAGUAACACGUGGAAACAUGCCCUUCGGUACGGAAUAACUCAGGGAAACUUGUGCUAAUACCGUAUACGUCCGAGAGGAGAAAGAUUUAUCGCCGAAGGAUUGGCCCGCGUCUGAUUAGCUAGUUGGUGAGGUAAUGGCUCACCAAGGCGACGAUCAGUAGCUGGUCUGAGAGGAUGAUCAGCCACAUUGGGACUGAGACACGGCCCAAACUCCUACGGGAGGCAGCAGUGGGGAAUAUUGGACAAUGGGCGCAAGCCUGAUCCAGCCAUGCCGCGUGAGUGAUGAAGGCCUUAGGGUUGUAAAGCUCUUUUACCCGGGAAGAUAAUGACUGUACCGGGAGAAUAAGCCCCGGCUAACUUCGUGCCAGCAGCCGCGGUAAUACGAAGGGGGCUAGCGUUGUUCGGAUUUACUGGGCGUAAAGCGCACGUAGGCGGAUCUUUAAGUCAGAGGUGAAAUCCCAAGGCUCAACCUUGGAACUGCCUUUGAUACUGGGGAUCUUGAGUUCGGAAGAGGUGAGUGGAACUGCGAGUGUAGAGGUGAAAUUCGUAGAUAUUCGCAAGAACACCAG